CCCACCCCGCCACGACAGGCACGGACAGCAGGCCGGCGGCGUGAGUUCUCACGCGGAGCGGACUGCUCACAACGCAAAACGGCAGCAGUGGCCAGCUUCUUCCGGGCGAUGGUCGUGUCAGACGAAGCGUGAGCGCCCGCUAUGUUGCACCGCUUCCGUCCGUUCCGUCCGUUCCGUCCGUCCGUCCCUGAUGCCACCCAACCCGCCGCAGACUCGAGGACGACUCCUGUUGAACAGUGAGCGAAAACGGAGACAGCUGAGCACACUUCAGUGUCGUCGUUACGAAUCGAAGUGUCGUCUCGUAUCCGUCCAUCUUUCCUAAUUGGCCCGAUCCCCCCGACUCCGUCUGAGCCGCGGGUCCUCCCGGGUCCGCGCCGGUCCGACGUUGCAGAGCCCGCACGGCGAACAUCGCCUUUGCCCGGAGUCGCGAGCCUUGAACUGACUGAGCCCGGCGCGCCCAGGACUCGAACCUCUCUCUCUCUCAGACCUUCGCUGCACCGUUGAAAGCUUACGGUUCGCUGGUUUAGGUUUGCUUCUUGCACCACCUGCUCUACCCGUUACAAUGCCAAUACACGGAGCCGACGCUGACAUGCAAAGGCGAUUCUCGGAAGUCUUAUUAUUCCGCCUCCCUUAUCUCCCCCCCCUCCCUCAUUGAUAGCAGCCAAAACACUGACCGCAACAAAGCCUCCCCCCCCCGCCCCUCUUU
Long non-coding RNA from Frankliniella occidentalis (western flower thrips), 706 nucleotides. RefSeq lists it as uncharacterized. The transcript is spliced from 3 exons. NCBI's taxonomy places the organism in Eukaryota, Metazoa, Arthropoda, Insecta, Thysanoptera, Thripidae. The record is from RefSeq and is a predicted model, not a curated record.